GUCCAGACUCCUACGGGAGGCAGCAGUGAGGAAUAUUGGUCAAUGGGCGAGAGCCUGAACCAGCCAAGCCGCGUGAGGGAAGACGGCCCUAUGGGUUGUAAACCUCUUUUGUCGGAGAACAAAACCCGGGACGUGCCCCGGACUGCGUGUAUCCGAAGAAAAAGCAUCGGCUAACUCCGUGCCAGCAGCCGCGGUAAUACGGAGGAUGCGAGCGUUAUCCGGAUUUAUUGGGUUUAAAGGGUGCGUAGGCGGUCCGUUAAGUCAGCGGUAAAAUUGCGGGGCUCAACCCCGUCGAGCCGUUGAAACUGGCAGACUUGAGUUGGCGAGAAGUACGCGGAAUGCGCGGUGUAGCGGUGAAAUGCAUAGAUAUCGCGCAGAACUCCGAUUGCGAAGGCAGCGUACCGGCGCCAGACUGACGCUGAGGCACGAAAGCGUGGGGAUCGAACAGGAUUAGAUACCCGUGUA
RNAcentral lists this ribosomal RNA (465 nucleotides) under uncultured bacterium. RNAcentral describes it as "bacterial SSU rRNA". It matches the Rfam family "Bacterial small subunit ribosomal RNA", at positions 329 to 792 of the family's 1533-position model. The record is from RNAcentral.